Molecule: ribosomal RNA, 838 nt
Filed under: uncultured bacterium
Lineage: Bacteria
Description: bacterial SSU rRNA
Rfam family: Bacterial small subunit ribosomal RNA
Source: RNAcentral
AUUGAACGCUGGCGGUAUGCUUAACACAUGCAAGUCGAACGGAAACGAUACUAGCUUGCUAGUAGGCGUCGAGUGGCGGACGGGUGAGUAACGCGUAGGAAUCUGCCUGAUAGUGGGGGAUAGCCCGGAGAAAUUCGGAUUAAUACCGCAUAAUCUAUUCGUAGUAAAGUGGGGGACUUUCGAGCCUCACGCUAUCAGAUGAGCCUGCGUAAGAUUAGCUUGUUGGUAGGGUAAAAGCCUACCAAGGCGACGAUCUUUAGCUGGUCUGAGAGGAUGAUCAGCCACAUCGGGACUGAGACACGGCCCGAACUCCUACGGGAGGCAGCAGUGGGGAAUAUUGGACAAUGGGGGCAACCCUGAUCCAGCAAUACCGCGUGUGUGAAGAAGGCCUGAGGGUUGUAAAGCACUUUCAAUUGUGAAGAAAAGUUAACGGUUAAUAACCGUUAGCCUUGACGUUAACUUUAGAAGAAGCACCGGCUAACUCCGUGCCAGCAGCCGCGGUAAUACGGAGGGUGCAAGCGUUAAUCGGAAUUACUGGGCGUAAAGCGUGCGUAGGUGGUUUAUUAAGUCAGAUGUGAAAGCCCCGGGCUUAACCUGGGAACUGCAUUUGAAACUGGUAAACUAGAGUAUGGUAGAGGAAAGUGGAAUUUCUGGUGUAGCGGUGAAAUGCGUAGAUAUCAGAAGGAACAUCAAUGGCGAAGGCAGCUUUCUGGACCAAUACUGACACUGAGGUACGAAAGCGUGGGUAGCAAACAGGAUUAGAUACCCUGGUAGUCCACGCCGUAAACGAUGAUAACUAGCCGUUGGGGGGAUUUACCCUUUAGUGGCGAAGCUAACG